GAUGAACGCUGGCGGCGUGCCUAAUACAUGCAAGUCGAGCGAACAGAUAAGGAGCUUGCUCCUUUGACGUUAGCGGCGGACGGGUGAGUAACACGUGGAUAACCUACCUAUAAGACUGGGAUAACUUCGGGAAACCGGAGCUAAUACCGGAUAACAUAUUGAACCGCAUGGUUCAAUAGUGAAAGGCGGCUUUGCUGUCACUUAUAGAUGGAUCCGCGCCGUAUUAGCUAGUUGGUAAGGUAACGGCUUUCCAAGGCAACGAUACGUAGCCGACCUGAGAGGGUGAUCGGCCACACUGGAACUGAGACACGGUCCAGACUCCUACGGGAGGCAGCAGUAGGGAAUCUUCCGCAAUGGGCGAAAGCCUGACGGAGCAACGCCGCGUGAGUGAUGAAGGUCUUCGGAUCGUAAAACUCUGUUAUCAGAGAAGAACAAAUGUGUAAGUAACUGUGCACAUCUUGACGGUACCUGAUCAGAAAGCCACGGCUAACUACGUG
This 497-nucleotide ribosomal RNA is filed under the name uncultured bacterium. RNAcentral's name for it is "partial 16S ribosomal RNA". It matches the Rfam family "Bacterial small subunit ribosomal RNA", at positions 28 to 507 of the family's 1533-position model. The record is from RNAcentral.